GCUUUUCUAGACCUAAGGGAUAAUGUUUGCUUUAUAAUCCUUGUUUUAUGUUCUAAAACAUGUCAAAGCGCUAACGGAAUUAGCCCCAGAGCAUUUCAGAGUGCUGUAAAACCAAUCAAAAAGAAGUUGGGAGAUUACAUAUUACAUAUUUGAAUAAUCUAAUAAUUCAUGUAAUUAAACAAUCAAGGCAUUUAAACACUUGUGGGGAGGGGAGGGAGGGAGAGGCAAGCAGGGAGGCAGACAAGCAGGGAGGCAGACAAGCAGGGAGGCAGACAAGCAGGGAGGCAGACAAGCAGGGAGGCAGACAAGCAGGGAGGCAGACAAGCAGGGAGACAGACAAGCAGGGAAGCAGACAAGCAGGGAAGCAGACAAGCAGGGAGACAGACAAGCAGGGAGGCAGACAAGCAGGGAGGCAGACAAGCAGGGAAGCAGACAAGCAGGGAAGCAGACAAGCAGGGAGGCAGACAAGCAGGGA
Molecule: long non-coding RNA, 475 nt
Organism: Oncorhynchus tshawytscha (Chinook salmon)
Lineage: Eukaryota; Metazoa; Chordata; Actinopteri; Salmoniformes; Salmonidae
Source: Ensembl